GCCCAUGUGAUGGAAUGGUAGACAUGCCGUGCUCAGAACGCGGUGCCUUAACAGGCGUGAGGGUUCGACUCCCUCUGUGGGCACUA
Molecule: transfer RNA, 86 nt
Filed under: Gammaproteobacteria bacterium
Lineage: Bacteria; Pseudomonadati; Pseudomonadota; Gammaproteobacteria
Description: tRNA-Leu
Rfam family: tRNA
About the family: Transfer RNA (tRNA) molecules are approximately 80 nucleotides in length. Their secondary structure includes four short double-helical elements and three loops (D, anti-codon, and T loops). Further hydrogen bonds mediate the characteristic L-shaped molecular structure. tRNAs have two regions of fundamental functional importance: the anti-codon, which is responsible for specific mRNA codon recognition, and the 3' end, to which the tRNAs corresponding amino acid is attached (by aminoacyl-tRNA synthetases). tRNAs cope with the degeneracy of the genetic code in two manners: having more than one tRNA (with a specific anti-codon) for a particular amino acid; and 'wobble' base-pairing, i.e. permitting non-standard base-pairing at the 3rd anti-codon position.
Source: RNAcentral